Molecule: ribosomal RNA, 253 nt
Filed under: uncultured bacterium
Lineage: Bacteria
Description: partial 16S ribosomal RNA
Rfam family: Bacterial small subunit ribosomal RNA
Source: RNAcentral
UACGUAGGGGGCAAGCGUUGUCCGGAUUUACUGGGCGUACCGGGCGCGUAGGCGGCCCUGUUAGUCAGGCGUGAAAGUCCUGGGCUCAACCUGGGAAUUGCGCUUGAUACGGCAGAGCUAGAGGAUGGAAGAGGCUCGCGGAAUUCCCAGUGUAGAGGUGAAAUUCGUAGAUAUUGGGAAGAACACCGGUGGCGAAGGCGGCGAGCUGGUCCAUUACUGACGCUGAGGCGCGACAGCGUGGGGAGCAAGCAGG